AUGCUGUCCUCAUGGAUUUUUCUCUUAUCUUUGGCUUGGGUUUAUGGAAACACCAAAAUGAGAAUCUCCCAAGAUCAGUCCUUUACCAGAAGACUAGACAAAACGGUGCAUAUAAGCUGCAAGCUGUCUGGGAUUCCUCUCGACAAUGCCAUUGUGCACUGGUAUGAGCAAAAAGAAGGAGAACCCCUGAGACGAAUUCUUUAUGGCUCAACCAAGAGUUUUAAGCAAGACAACCUCGAUCCCCGCCUGGAGACAGAUAAGAAAAGUAAUGGAGUAUUUUACCUGAUCAUCAAUAACGUCAUAGAGUCUGAUGGAGCCACCUACUACUGUGCCUGCUGGGAUCUCACAAUAUUUGGAGAAGGGACAAAGCUCAUAGUGAUUCCCCGGGAGAAAAACCUUGAUGGAGAUUUUUCUCCCAAGCCCACUGUUUUUCUUCCUUCGCCUGCUGAAAUAAACCUCCAUAAGACUGGAACCUAUCUCUGUCUUCUUGAGAAAUUUUUCCCUGAUGUAAUCAAGAUAGAUUGGAAAGAAGAGAACAGUGAUACGAUGCUGGACUCCCAGCAGGGAGAUAUCAUGAGGACUGGGGACACCUACAUGAAAUUCAGCUGGCUGACAGUGUCUGGGCAGGCGAUGAAUAAGAAACACAAAUGCAUCGUCAAACAUGAGUUUAACAGAAGAGGGGUUGAUCAGGAGAUUCUUUUUCCUUCUAUAAGAAAUGAGGUCACUGCUAUUGAGUCUACAAACACUUCCCUAAAAGGAGAAAGUGAUGAAGAACUGCAACUACUGUUCACGAUCAACUCUGCCUACUAUACCUACAUCUUCCUCCUCUUCAAGAGCACCCUCUAUUUUGCCAUCAUCACUUUCUGUCUUUUCAGGACAACAGCAACGUGUGGCAAUGGGAAGAAUUCACAAUGA
Molecule: non-coding RNA, 915 nt
Organism: Sorex fumeus (smoky shrew)
Lineage: Eukaryota; Metazoa; Chordata; Mammalia; Eulipotyphla; Soricidae
Source: the annotation of a RefSeq genome assembly